ACCUGCCAGUAGAAAACCACCUGCCAUCGUAGGACAACUCAUUCCUCAAUAUGGACCCCAGACUUUGGGAGGACUAUUUGCAAGAACAGGAAGCGAACUAUUCAGUAGAAGACAUAUUGCCAUUGCAGGACAACCGAUCUUUACAUAUACACCCCAACCUACAGGAAGAGGAGGAGGAGGAGUGUAUGCAAGUACAGGAGAACCUGCCAGUAGGAAACACCCUGCCGGUGUAGGACUACCAGUGACUACAUGUGGACCCCAGACUACAGGAGGACUAUUUGCAAGUGCAGGAGGAAAACCUGUCAGUAGAAAACAUCCUGCUGCUGUAGGACAACAGAUUCCUCAAUAUGGACCACAGACUACAGGAGGAGGAGGAGGAGUGUAUGCAAGUACCGGAGGAGAACCUGUCAGUAGAAGACAGCCUGCCAUUAUACUACGACCACCGACUUUUAUAUAUCGAUCCCAGACUACAGGAGGAGGAGGAGGAGG
Arvicola amphibius (Eurasian water vole) is the source of this 489-nucleotide long non-coding RNA. RefSeq lists it as uncharacterized. NCBI's taxonomy places the organism in Eukaryota, Metazoa, Chordata, Mammalia, Rodentia, Cricetidae. The record is from RefSeq and is a predicted model, not a curated record. The transcript is spliced from 5 exons.